UGGUGCAAAAGUAAUUGCGGUUUUUGCCAUAAAAGUAAUAGCAAAAACUGUGAUUGCUUUUGCAC
This 65-nucleotide microRNA precursor is filed under the name Rhinopithecus bieti (black snub-nosed monkey). RNAcentral describes it as "miRNA (ENSRBIG00000016308.1)". Lineage: Eukaryota; Metazoa; Chordata; Mammalia; Primates; Cercopithecidae. The record is from RNAcentral.